CGGAGGGUGCAAGCGUUAUCCGGAAUCAUUGGGUUUAAAGGGUCCGCAGGCGGUCUUAUAAGUCAGUGGUGAAAGCCUACAGCUUAACUGUAGAACUGCCAUUGAUACUGUAAGACUUGAAUUCGGUCGAAGUGGGCGGAAUGUGACAUGUAGCGGUGAAAUGCUUAGAUAUGUCACAGAACACCGAUAGCGAAGGCAGCUCACUAGGCCUGGAUUGACGCUCAUGGACGAAAGCGUGGGGAGCAAACAGGAUUAGAUACCCUGGUAGUCCACGCCGUAAACUAUGAUUACUCGUUUUCGGCGAUAUACAGUCGGAGACUAAGCGAAAGUGAUAAGUAAUCCACCUGGGGAGUACGAUCGCAAGGUUA
Molecule: ribosomal RNA, 368 nt
Filed under: uncultured organism
Description: bacterial SSU rRNA
Rfam family: Bacterial small subunit ribosomal RNA
Source: RNAcentral